AGUGAACGCUGGCGGUAGGCCUAACACAUGCAAGUCGAACGGCAGCACAGUAAGAGCUUGCUCUUACGGGUGGCGAGUGGCGGACGGGUGAGGAAUACAUCGGAAUCUACUUUUUCGCGGGGGAUAACGUAGGGAAACUUGCGCUAAUACCGCAUACGACCUACGGGUGAAAGCAGGGGAUCUUCGGACCUUGCGCGAUUGAAUGAGCCGAUGUCGGAUUAGCUAGUUGGCGGGGUAAAGGCCCACCAAGGCGACGAUCCGUAGCUGGUCUGAGAGGAUGAUCAGCCACACUGGAACUGAGACACGGUCCAGACUCCUACGGGAGGCAGCAGUGGGGAAUAUUGGACAAUGGGCGCAAGCCUGAUCCAGCCAUACCGCGUGGGUGAAGAAGGCCUUCGGGUUGUAAAGCCCUUUUGUUGGGAAGGAAAAGCAGCAGGUUAAUACCCCGCUGUUCUGACGGUACCCAAAGAAUAAGCACCGGCUAACUUCGUG
This 492-nucleotide ribosomal RNA is filed under the name uncultured bacterium. RNAcentral describes it as "partial 16S ribosomal RNA". It matches the Rfam family "Bacterial small subunit ribosomal RNA", at positions 29 to 507 of the family's 1533-position model. The record is from RNAcentral.